UACGGGGGGGGGCAAGCGUUGUUCGGAAUUACUGGGCGUAAAGGGCGCGUAGGCGGCCUGCUAAGUCGGACGUGAAAUCCCUCGGCUCAACCGGGGAACUGCGUCCGAUACUGGCGAGGCUUGAAUCCGGGAGAGGGAUGUGGAAUUCCAGGUGUAGCGGUGAAAUGCGUAGAUAUCUGGAGGAACACCGGUGGCGAAGGCGGCAUCCUGGACCAACACUGACACUGAGGAGCGAAAGCCAGGGGAGCAAACGGG
This 255-nucleotide ribosomal RNA is filed under the name uncultured bacterium. RNAcentral describes it as "partial 16S ribosomal RNA". It matches the Rfam family "Bacterial small subunit ribosomal RNA", at positions 524 to 776 of the family's 1533-position model. The record is from RNAcentral.